RNAcentral lists this ribosomal RNA (1172 nucleotides) under uncultured bacterium. RNAcentral's name for it is "bacterial SSU rRNA". It matches the Rfam family "Bacterial small subunit ribosomal RNA", at positions 193 to 1387 of the family's 1533-position model. The record is from RNAcentral.
CCCGGUGGUAAAAACUCCGGUGGUAUGAGAUGGACCCGCGUCUGAUUAGCUAGUUGGUGGGGUAACGGCUCACCAAGGCGACGAUCAGUAGCCGACCUGAGAGGGUGACCGGCCACAUUGGGACUGAGACACGGCCCAAACUCCUACGGGAGGCAGCAGUGGGGAAUAUUGCACAAUGGGGGAAACCCUGAUGCAGCGACGCCGCGUGAAGGAUGAAGUAUUUCGGUAUGUAAACUUCUAUCAGCAGGGAAGAAAAUGACGGUACCUGACUAAGAAGCCCCGGCUAACUACGUGCCAGCAGCCGCGGUAAUACGUAGGGGGCAAGCGUUAUCCGGAUUUACUGGGUGUAAAGGGAGCGUAGACGGCAUGGCAAGUCUGAAGUGAAAGCCCGGGGCUCAACCCCGGGACUGCUUUGGAAACUGUCAGGCUAGAGUGCUGGAGAGGUAAGUGGAAUUCCUAGUGUAGCGGUGAAAUGCGUAGAUAUUAGGAGGAACACCAGUGGCGAAGGCGGCUUACUGGACAGUGACUGACGUUGAGGCUCGAAAGCGUGGGGAGCAAACAAGAUUAGAUACCCUGGUAGUCCACGCCGUAAACGAUACUAAGAGGGUCGGGUAGCAAAGCUAUUCGGUGCCGCAGCAAACGCAAUAAAUAGUCCACCCGGGGAGUACGUUCGCAAGAAUGAUACUCACAACCAAUUGACGGGGACCCGCACAAGCGGUGGAGCAUGUGGUUUAAUUUGAAGCAACGAGAAGAACCUUACCUGAUCUUGACAUCCCGAUGCCCGCUCCGUAAUGGGAGCCCCUCUUCAGAACAUCGGUGACAGGCGGUGCAUGGUUGUCGUCAGCUUGUGUCGUGAGAUGUUGGGUUAAGUCCCGCAACGAGCGCAACCCCUAUCUUUAGUAGCCAGCAUCUAAGGUGGGCACUCUAGAGAGACUGCCAGGGACAACCUGGAGGAAGGAGGGGAUGACGUCAAAUCAUCAUGCCCCCUAUGACCAGGGCUACACACGUGCUACAAUGGCGUAAACAAAGGGAAGCAAAGCUGUGAGGCCGAGCAAAUCCCAAAAAUAACGUCUCAGUUAGGAUUGUAGUCUGCAACUCGACUACAUGAAGCUGGAAUCGCUAGUAAUCGCGAAUCAGAAUGUCGCGGUGAAAAAAAUCCCGGGUCUUGCACA